This 253-nucleotide ribosomal RNA is filed under the name uncultured bacterium. Its description in RNAcentral is "partial 16S ribosomal RNA". It matches the Rfam family "Bacterial small subunit ribosomal RNA", at positions 524 to 776 of the family's 1533-position model. The record is from RNAcentral.
UACGUAGGUGGCAAGCGUUGUCCGGAUUUAUUGGGUUUAAAGGGUGCGUAGGCGGUCCUAUAAGUCAGUGCUGAAAUAUCCCGGCUUAACCGGGAGGGUGGCAUUGAUACUGCAGGACUUGAGUAAAGUUGAGGUUGGCGGAAUUGACGGUGUAGCGGUGAAAUGCUUAGAUAUCGUCAAGAACACCUAUUGCGAAGGCAGCUAACUAAACUUUAACUGACGCUGAGGCACGAAAGUGUGGGGAUCAAACAGG